UGAAGUGUGGACGCCAGUCUGCAUGGAGCCGACCUUGAAAUACCACCCUUUAAUGUUUGAUGUUCUAACGUGGACCCGUGAUCCGGGUUGCGGACAGUGUCUGGUGGGUAGUUUGACUGGGGCGGUCUCCUCCUAAAGAGUAACGGAGGAGCACGAAGGUUGGCUAAUCCUGGUCGGACAUCAGGAGGUUAGUGCAAUGGCAUAAGCCAGCUUGACUGCGAGCGUGACGGCGCGAGCAGGUGCGAAAGCAGGUCAUAGUGAUCCGGUGGUUCUGAAUGGAAGGGCCAUCGCUCAACGGAUAAAAGGUACUCCGGGGAUAACAGGCUGAUACCGCCCAAGAGUUCAUAUCGACGGCGGUGUUUGGCACCUCGAUGUCGGCUCAUCACAUCCUGGGGCUGAAGUAGGUCCCAAGGGUAUGGCUGUUCGCCAUUUAAAGUGGUACGCGAGCUGGGUUUAGAACGUCGUGAGACAGUUCGGUCCCUAUCUGCCGUGGGCGCUGGAGAACUGAGGGGGGCUGCUCCUAGUACGAGAGGACCGGAGUGGACGCAUCACUGGUGUUCGGGUUGUCAUGCCAAUGGCACUGCCCGGUAGCUAAAUGCGGAAGAGAUAAGUGCUGAAAGCAUCUAAGCACGAAACUUGCCCCGAGAUGAGUUCUCCCUGAGACUUAGAGUCUCCUGAAGGAACGUUGAAGACGACGACGUUGAUAGGCCGGGUGUGUAAGCGCAGCGAUGCGUUGAGCUAACCGGUACUAAUGAACCGUGAGGCUUAACCUU
RNAcentral lists this ribosomal RNA (773 nucleotides) under Salmonella enterica. Its description in RNAcentral is "partial 23S ribosomal RNA". It matches the Rfam family "Bacterial large subunit ribosomal RNA", at positions 2158 to 2925 of the family's 2925-position model. The record is from RNAcentral. RNAcentral also lists the same sequence under 1 other name. Lineage: Bacteria; Pseudomonadati; Pseudomonadota; Gammaproteobacteria; Enterobacterales; Enterobacteriaceae.